UACGGGGGGAGCAAGCGUUGUUCGGAUUUACUGGGCGUAAAGGGCGCGUAGGCGGCCUCCGCAAGUCAGUUGUGAAAUCUCCGAGCUUAACUCGGAAAGGUCAACUGAUACUGCGGGGCUAGAGUGCGGAAGGGGCAACUGGAAUUCUUGGUGUAGCGGUGAAAUGCGUAGAUAUCAAGAGGAACACCUGCGGCGAAGGCGGGUUGCUGGGCCGACACUGACGCUGAUGCGCGAAAGCCAGGGGAGCAAACGGG
RNAcentral lists this ribosomal RNA (254 nucleotides) under uncultured bacterium. Its description in RNAcentral is "partial 16S ribosomal RNA". It matches the Rfam family "Bacterial small subunit ribosomal RNA", at positions 524 to 776 of the family's 1533-position model. The record is from RNAcentral.